GGGCGUGUGGCGUAGUCGGUAGCGCGCUCCCUUMGCAUGGGAGAGGUCUCCGGUUCGAUUCCGGACUCGUCCU
Molecule: transfer RNA, 73 nt
Filed under: Saccharomyces cerevisiae FostersB
Lineage: Eukaryota; Fungi; Ascomycota; Saccharomycetes; Saccharomycetales; Saccharomycetaceae
Description: tRNA-Ala (MGC) (tRNA-Ala-MGC-1-1)
Rfam family: tRNA
About the family: Transfer RNA (tRNA) molecules are approximately 80 nucleotides in length. Their secondary structure includes four short double-helical elements and three loops (D, anti-codon, and T loops).
Source: RNAcentral